RNAcentral lists this ribosomal RNA (119 nucleotides) under Lepisosteus oculatus (spotted gar). Lineage: Eukaryota; Metazoa; Chordata; Actinopteri; Semionotiformes; Lepisosteidae. The record is from RNAcentral.
GCCAGCAGCCACAUCAGCCUGCAUCUCCCGGCUGGCAACCCACUGAAGCUCAGCGGGUGUGAGCCUAGCCAGUGCCUGGAUGGGAGACCUACUGGGAAACACUAAGGUUGCUGCUGGAA